UACGUAGGGCGCAAGCGUUGUCCGGAUUUAUUGGGCGUAAAGAGCUCGUAGGCGGCCUGUCGCGUCGACCGUGAAAACCCGCAGCUCAACUGCGGGCUUGCGGUCGAUACGGGCAGGCUGGAGUUCGGUAGGGGAGACUGGAAUUCCUGGUGUAGCGGUGAAAUGCGCAGAUAUCAGGAGGAACACCGGUGGCGAAGGCGGGUCUCUGGGCCGAUACUGACGCUGAGGAGCGAAAGCGUGGGGAGCGAACAGG
This 253-nucleotide ribosomal RNA is filed under the name uncultured bacterium. RNAcentral describes it as "partial 16S ribosomal RNA". It matches the Rfam family "Bacterial small subunit ribosomal RNA", at positions 524 to 776 of the family's 1533-position model. The record is from RNAcentral.